CAGGCUGGUCGGGCGAUCGCGGCUCCGCAUGCCGGAGUCGAGGAAAGUCCGCACUCCACAGAGCAGAACGCCGGGUAACUCCCGGGGUGGGGAAACCUGCCGGAUCGGGCCACAGAAACACACCGCGAAAGGCGGCCGGGUAACCGGCUGCCCCGCAAGGGUGAAAAGGUGGUGUAAGAGACCACCGGCGCAUAUAGUAAUAUAUGCGGCCAGGCAACCCCCGUUCGGAGCAAGGCCAAGCAGGGACUGUGCCGGUUUACCGGCCGGUAGUUGCUCGCUUCUUACGUCCCGGGUAGGCUGCUAGAGCUGUACGGAGACGUACAGCCCAGAUAGAUGAUCGCCAAGGACGAUUGUCCUACAGAAUGCGGCUUAUAGACCAGCCUGGGGG
Molecule: RNase P RNA, 388 nt
Filed under: Chloroflexota bacterium
Lineage: Bacteria; Bacillati; Chloroflexota
Description: Chloroflexi bacterium (anaerobic digester metagenome) RNase P RNA component class A
Rfam family: Bacterial RNase P class A
About the family: Ribonuclease P (RNase P) is a ubiquitous endoribonuclease, found in archaea, bacteria and eukarya as well as chloroplasts and mitochondria. Its best characterised activity is the generation of mature 5'-ends of tRNAs by cleaving the 5'-leader elements of precursor-tRNAs. Cellular RNase Ps are ribonucleoproteins.
Source: RNAcentral